GAUUAGCUUGUUGGCGGGGUAACGGCCCACCAAGGCAACGAUCAGUAGGGGUUCUGAGAGGAAGGUCCCCCACAUUGGAACUGAGACACGGUCCAAACUCCUACGGGAGGCAGCAGUGAGGAAUAUUGGUCAAUGGGCGAGAGCCUGAACCAGCCAAGUAGCGUGCAGGAAGACGGCCCUAUGGGUUGUAAACUGCUUUUAUAAGGGAAUAAAGUUAGUCUCGUGAGACUUUUUGCAUGUACCUUAUGAAUAAGGACCGGCUAAUUCCGUGCCAGCAGCCGCGGUAAUACGGAAGGUCCGGGCGUUAUCCGGAUUUAUUGGGUUUAAAGCGAGCGUAGGCCGGAGAUUAAGCGUGUUGUGAAAUGUAGACGCUCGACGUCUGCACUGCAGCGCGAACUGGUUUCCUUGAGUACGCACAAAGUGGCGGAAUUCGUGGUGUAGCGGUGAAAUGCUUAGAUAUCACGAAGAACUCCGAUUGCGAAGGCAGCUCACUGGAGCGCAACUGACGCUGAAGCUCGAAAGUGCGGGUAUCGAACAGGAUUAGAUACCCUGGUAGUCCGCACGGUAAACGAUGGAUGCCCGCUGUUGGUCUGAACAGGUCAGCGGCCAAGCGAAAGCAUUAAGCAUCCCACCUGGGGAGUACGCCGGCAACGGUGAAACUCAAAGGAAUUGACGGGGGCCCGCACAAGCGGAGGAACAUGUGGUUUAAUUCGAUGAUACGCGAGGAACCUUACCCGGGCUUGAAUUGCAGAGGAAGGAUUUGGAGACAAUGACGCCCUUCGGGGUCUCUGUGAAGGUGCUGCAUGGUUGUCGUCAGCUCGUGCCGUGAGGUGUCGGCUUAAGUGCCAUAACGAGCGCAACCCCUCUCCUUAGUUGCCAUCAGGUUAAGCUGGGCACUCUGGGGACACUGCCACCGUAAGGUGUGAGGAAGGUGGGGAUGACGUCAAAUCAGCACGGCCCUUACGUCCGGGGCUACACACGUGUUACAAUGGCAGGUACAGAGAGACGGUUGUACGUGAGUACGAUCAAAUCCUUAAAGCCUGUCUCAGUUCGGACUGGGGUCUGCAACCCGACCCCACGAAGCUGGAUUCGCUAGUAAUCGCGCAUCAGCCAUGGCGCGGUGAAUACGUUCCCGGGCCUUGUACACACCGCCCGUCAAGCCAUGAAAGCCGGGGGCGCCUAAAGUCCGUGACCGUAAGGAGCGGCCUAGGGCGAAACUGGUAAUUGGGGCUAAGUCGAAACAAGGUA
Molecule: ribosomal RNA, 1248 nt
Filed under: metagenome
Description: bacterial SSU rRNA
Rfam family: Bacterial small subunit ribosomal RNA
Source: RNAcentral